Molecule: long non-coding RNA, 2703 nt
Filed under: Homo sapiens (human)
Lineage: Eukaryota; Metazoa; Chordata; Mammalia; Primates; Hominidae
Description: non-protein coding BFSP2-AS1:12
Source: RNAcentral
CAGACAUUGCAGCCGCUUCCUGUCUCACUGCUGGUCUGGAAUUUCAGAGAACCCCUGAGCUGGAGUUCUGAAUUGAAACCUGGAGCCUGUCUGGUUCCACAUUCACCUUUCACCACCGGCCGUUUCUUGAACACCCGCUGUGUGUCGAGGCCUGGGAUCUGCCUUACUCAACUCCCACUUCUACCAGGAGCAGAGGAUCACCGCUGCCCAGCACCCCGCCCAUCUGAAUUCUGACUCUGGUGGCUUCAGAGAAGCAAGGAGAAGAGAGACAGAAGGAGAGAAGAGGGGCAGGAGGAGAGAAAACACAAGAAAGAGGAUGGAAGAUAAAGAGGAAGGCCAGAGUGAGGCAGGAGAAAGCUGAGCUGGAACCUAACUCCUGUUGAUCUGCUGCAGAGACCCUCUCAUUCCACAAUUGCUCCCGCCAUGCCAAGGAGACAAGCUCAACAUACAAAGAACAAGGAGAGAACAAUGGAAGAUGGCCUAUAAUUCAGAAGCACAUUGGGUGGAGCAUAUUGCACAUGUAGAAGCUUGUCACGGAACCCAAGAAAGCUGGAGGAACCUGGGAAGGCUUCCUGGAAGAAGGAUUUUGCAUCGGGUUGAUGUAGUGGAUGCUGUAGUCCACUACCCAGAUUCCUUCCCCAACCCACAACAAUGAGGUUCUCAUUCCGGAGCUGCUAGGAGGGAUGCCAGAUAAUAGCACACAGCUGAACUUCUCUUCAGCUAUUGCCCUCAGAUUAAGAAAGCUGCCUUGCUCAAGGUUACACGCCUUUCCUGGGAAACCAGUAUCCAAUGACUGGUUCCUGUAAAAGGAAUGGAGCUGCCUUAAAAGAGCUGCCUUGCUUCAAUUUGGGAAGACUAUGAAGAGCCAUCCCAGCUCUGGAGUUCUCCGUAGGGUUGGGUUUUUGAGACUAUGCAGAAGUUAUUCCAUGAGUUCCAAGCCCAGGUCAUGAAAGAUAACUUGUAAUAAAUCUGGCUACCCUGAAGCUGCCAUGCUUGAGAGACCACACGAGAUGGAGAGAGAUGCUUAGGAGUCCCAGCUGUCCAAGCCUCCAGCUAUGUGAAUCUUCCCAGCAGCAACUGCCAGACAUGUGGUACACCCAAAAUGACUUUGGGGCUACACUUGGAAUUGGCAAGGUUCCAGAAAACAGAGGGACUAUCAUCAGAGACAGCGCACAAAAAGUGGGAGAAAGGUCACCAGCCUCACUCAUGGUGAGUGGGAACCUUCAAUCAGUUUAGGGCUAUUAUGAAUAAAGCUGCUAUGAACACUUGUUUACAAGUUCUUUGUGAGGACACAUGUUUUCAUUUAUCUUGGGAAAAUACCUAGAGAUGGAACUCUGGGACACAUGGUAAUAAAGUAUAUUGGCAUAAUGCAAGAGUCAAGAUGCAGAAAAUAACUACUGUGUGAUGUCUCUCUCCCAGCUUUAACCCGCCUGAAGGGCAGCACUGAGUUCAACACACUGUCCCACAAUUGUUGCACUCUCACACUGAAGUGAACAGAUUCUUUCUCCGUGCCGUGCAGCUCCCGGCAGAGGAUGAGGGAAGGGUACCAUCGGUGAUUCAGCACUGUGUUUCCUAUCCUCUUCAAUGACUCUUUCAGCGAUAUGAAGGUAAAACCAGACUUGAAAGCGUGUGUCAGAUCCCUUCACUAUAUCUUCAGACCUGCCCCAAGGAGUGAGGAAGGGCAACACCAAGAACUUCUCUCCAAGGACCAUAACCUGCGAACCCCAUCUCACCUCCUCCUGCCAGAUGGACACAGUCAUUGUCCUCCUGGCUGAUCCCAUGUCCAUGUCUUGCUCUGGCUACUUUCAUACACCCAUAAUGACAUUUUCCAUCUACUCAAUUUUUUAAAAGCUCAGCUCGAACCUCACGGAUUUUCCUGACAAUCUGCUUCUCUCAAUGGCCUUAAUUUAAGUGAGGGUUGUCAGUCUUACUGGGUCUCGUUUUUUGUCUUAAAUAAUAACUAUUUAUGGGUAUCAAGUGUCUCCUCAAUUUGGCUAUGAUCCUUCACGGCAGAAAUACUGUCUUAUCUUGUGAUCAUGGAGUCACAAGAUUUCAUGGCUAGGAAUAUUCGUCAAAUUAAUCCUAGAUUGAGGAUCAGGUAGUAUGUGGUCUGAUUCUAACUCAACAACUUGCAGAAACUCACUUCUUUUUUCUUUUUUUUUCCCCAGGAGGAGCUAUCGUAUUAACUGACGAAACUCACUUCAUUUCUUUGGACCUGCAAAAUGAGGAUGGGCUCUAAACCACCUCUAAAGUUAAUAUUCUAUGAUUCCAUGAUAAGGCUAUUUGUCAUUUAUAAAAAAAGGAACUUCCACAUAGCCCAGAGAAAGGAAAUGACUUUUUCAAGUUUACAGAGUCAAUUAAUGGACGAAAUGUAAUUUGAAAUUCAAUCUCCUGAUCCCCAGUCUAUUGGGAGUUCUUUCAGAAUGUCCCUUGACUGUCCCUCAAAGUGCCAGCAUGUAUGAAACCUUGUUAAGGAUGUAUGCUCAAUGAAAAUACACAAAUUGACUUAACAAGAAACUAAACUCUCCAGAAAGAUGCAGUUGACCCAAAACUCUGAAUAUCUUUUAUGUUUAAAACUUUCUUUUUUGAACAAAAUUGUACAGUUACUUCUCUAUUUCAACUCUUAAGCCUUUUAUGCCACGUCAAAGGUUAGCUCUCUUUUCUCUCUGUUAAUAAAGUCUUAUUCUUGACUUUGGAACUGUA